AGGCCUGGAGAGAGAAGCAGGGUCUGAUCCGCAGCCUUCGUGGCAGCUGUUGAUCAACCCUUGCCUCUCUGUCUCUCUGUG
Molecule: non-coding RNA, 81 nt
Organism: Myotis brandtii (Brandt's bat)
Lineage: Eukaryota; Metazoa; Chordata; Mammalia; Chiroptera; Vespertilionidae
Source: Rfam